AGAGUUUGAUCAUGGCUCAGAUUGAACGCUGGCGGCAGGCCUAACACAUGCAAGUCGAACGGUAACAGAAAGCAGCUUGCUGCUUUGCUGACGAGUGGCGGACGGGUGAGUAAUGUCUGGGAAACUGCCUGAUGGAGGGGGAUAACUACUGGAAACGGUAGCUAAUACCGCAUAACGUCGCAAGACCAAAGAGGGGGACCUUCGGGCCUCUUGCCAUCGGAUGUGCCCAGAUGGGAUUAGCUUGUUGGUGGGGUAACGGCUCACCAAGGCGACGAUCCCUAGCUGGUCUGAGAGGAUGACCAGCCACACUGGAACUGAGACACGGUCCAGACUCCUACGGGAGGCAGCAGUGGGGAAUAUUGCACAAUGGGCGCAAGCCUGAUGCAGCCAUGCCGCGUGUAUGAAGAAGGCCUUCGGGUUGUAAAGUACUUUCAGCGGGGAGGAAGGGAGUAAAGUUAAUACCUUUGCUCAUUGACGUUACCCGCAGAAGAAGCACCGGCUAACUCCGUGCCAGCAGCCGCGGUAAUACGGAGGGUGCAAGCGUUAAUCGGAAUUACUGGGCGUAAAGCGCACGCAGGCGGUUUGUUAAGUCAGAUGUGAAAUCCCCGGGCUCAACCUGGGAACUGCAUCUGAUACUGGCAAGCUUGAGUCUCGUAGAGGGGGGUAGAAUUCCAGGUGUAGCGGUGAAAUGCGUAGAGAUCUGGAGGAAUACCGGUGGCGAAGGCGGCCCCCUGGACGAAGACUGACGCUCAGGUGCGAAAGCGUGGGGAGCAAACAGGAUUAGAUACCCUGGUAGUCCACGCCGUAAACGAUGUCGACUUGGAGGUUGUGCCCUUGAGGCGUGGCUUCCGGAGCUAACGCGUUAAGUCGACCGCCUGGGGAGUACGGCCGCAAGGUUAAAACUCAAAUGAAUUGACGGGGGCCCGCACAAGCGGUGGAGCAUGUGGUUUAAUUCGAUGCAACGCGAAGAACCUUACCUGGUCUUGACAUCCACGGAAGUUUUCAGAGAUGAGAAUGUGCCUUCGGGAACCGUGAGACAGGUGCUGCAUGGCUGUCGUCAGCUCGUGUUGUGAAAUGUUGGGUUAAGUCCCGCAACGAGCGCAACCCUUAUCCUUUGUUGCCAGCGGUCCGGCCGGGAACUCAAAGGAGACUGCCAGUGAUAAACUGGAGGAAGGUGGGGAUGACGUCAAGUCAUCAUGGCCCUUACGACCAGGGCUACACACGUGCUACAAUGGCGCAUACAAAGAGAAGCGACCUCGCGAGAGCAAGCGGACCUCAUAAAGUGCGUCGUAGUCCGGAUUGGAGUCUGCAACUCGACUCCAUGAAGUCGGAAUCGCUAGUAAUCGUGGAUCAGAAUGCCACGGUGAAUACGUUCCCGGGCCUUGUACACACCGCCCGUCACACCAUGGGAGUGGGUUGCAAAAGAAGUAGGUAGCUUAACCUUCGGGAGGGCGCUUACCACUUUGUGAUUCAUGACUGGGGUGAAGUCGUAACAAGGUAACCGUAGGGGAACCUGCGGUUGGAUCACCU
This 1530-nucleotide ribosomal RNA is filed under the name Escherichia coli. Its description in RNAcentral is "bacterial SSU rRNA". It matches the Rfam family "Bacterial small subunit ribosomal RNA". RNAcentral also lists the same sequence under 9 other names. The record is from RNAcentral. Lineage: Bacteria; Pseudomonadati; Pseudomonadota; Gammaproteobacteria; Enterobacterales; Enterobacteriaceae.